This 497-nucleotide ribosomal RNA is filed under the name uncultured bacterium. RNAcentral describes it as "partial 16S ribosomal RNA". It matches the Rfam family "Bacterial small subunit ribosomal RNA", at positions 28 to 507 of the family's 1533-position model. The record is from RNAcentral.
GAUGAACGCUGGCGGCGUGCCUAAUACAUGCAAGUCGAGCGAACAGACGAGGAGCUUGCUCCUCUGACGUUAGCGGCGGACGGGUGAGUAACACGUGGAUAACCUACCUAUAAGACUGGGAUAAAUUCGGGAAACCGGAGCUAAUACCGGAUAAUAUAUUGAACCGCAUGGUUCAAUAGUGAAAGACGGUUUUGCUGUCACUUAUAGAUGGAUCCGCGCCGCAUUAGCUAGUUGGUAAGGUAACGGCUUACCAAGGCGACGAUGCGUAGCCGACCUGAGAGGGUGAUCGGCCACACUGGAACUGAGACACGGUCCAGACUCCUACGGGAGGCAGCAGUAGGGAAUCUUCCGCAAUGGGCGAAAGCCUGACGGAGCAACGCCGCGUGAGUGAUGAAGGUCUUCGGAUCGUAAAACUCUGUUAUUAGGGAAGAACAAAUGUGUAAGUAACUAUGCACGUCUUGACGGUACCUAAACAGAAAGCCACGGCUAACUACGUG